GAUGAAGGUUUUCGAAUUGUAAACUGCUGUUAUAGGGGAAGAAAAACUUGGAUAGGAAAUGAUCCAAACUUGACGGUACCUUAUUAGAAAGUGACGGCUAACUAUGUGCCAGCAGCCGCGGUAAUACAUAGGUCACAAGCGUUAUCCGGAAUUAUUGGGCGUAAAGCGUUCGUAGGCGGUUUGUUAAGUCUGGAGUUAAAGACUGGGGCUCAACCCCAGCCCGCUCUGGAUACUGGCUGACUAGAGUUACAUAGAGGUAAGUGGAAUUCUUAGUGGAGCGGUGGAAUGCGUAGAUAUUAGGAAGAACACCAAUGGCGAAGGCAGCUUACUGGAUGUACACUGACGCUCAGGGACGAAAGCGUGGGGAGCAAACAGGAUUAGAUACCCUGGUAGUCCACGCCGUAAACGAUGAUCAUUAGCCGCUAGAAUAUUUAGUGGCGCAGCUAACGCAUUAAAUGAUCCGCCUGAGUAGUAUGCUCGCAAGAGUGAAACUUAAAGGAAUUGACGGGGACCCGCACAAGCGGUGGAGCAUGUGGUUUAAUUUGAAGAUACGCGUAGAACCUUACCCACUCUUGACAUCUUCCGCAAUACUAUGGAGACAUAGUGGAGGUUAACGGAAUGACAGAUGGUGCAUGGUUGUCGUCAGCUCGUGCCGUGAGGUGUUAGGUUAAGUCCUGCAACGAGCGCAACCCCUGUCUUUAGUUACUAACGGAUAAUGCCGAGGACUCUAGAGAGACUGACUGGGUAACCAGUAGGAAGGUGGGGACGACGUCAAAUCAUCAUGCCUCUUACGAGUGGGGCAACACACGUGCUACAAUGGACGGUACAAAGAGAAGCAAUAUGGUGACAUGGAGCAAACCUCAGAAACCGUUCUCAGUUCGGAUUGAAGUCUGAAACUCGACUUCAUGAAGUUGGAAUCGCUAGUAAUCGUAGAUCAGCUACGCUACGGUGAAUACGUUCUCGGGCCUUGUACACACCGCCCGUC
RNAcentral lists this ribosomal RNA (985 nucleotides) under uncultured Mycoplasma sp. RNAcentral describes it as "bacterial SSU rRNA". It matches the Rfam family "Bacterial small subunit ribosomal RNA", at positions 407 to 1398 of the family's 1533-position model. The record is from RNAcentral. Lineage: Bacteria; Bacillati; Mycoplasmatota; Mollicutes; Mycoplasmatales; Mycoplasmataceae.